RNAcentral lists this ribosomal RNA (180 nucleotides) under Cypripedium flavum. Its description in RNAcentral is "5.8S ribosomal RNA". The stretch from base 27 to 180 matches the Rfam family "5.8S ribosomal RNA". From Rfam's summary of the family: 5.8S ribosomal RNA (5.8S rRNA) is a component of the large subunit of the eukaryotic ribosome. It is transcribed by RNA polymerase I as part of the 45S precursor that also contains 18S and 28S rRNA. Lineage: Eukaryota; Viridiplantae; Streptophyta; Magnoliopsida; Asparagales; Orchidaceae. The record is from RNAcentral.
GUUGUGCAUGCCAAUAAAUUUUUGAUGACUCUCGGCCAACGGAUAUCUUGCUCUUCCAUCGAUGAAGAACGCAGCGAAAUGCGAUAAGUGGUGUGAAUUGCAGAAUCCCGUGAACCAUCGAGUCUUUGAACGCAAGUUGCGCCCAAGGCCAUCAGGCUAAGGGCACGCCUGCCUGGGCGU